Molecule: ribosomal RNA, 568 nt
Filed under: Tylothais aculeata
Lineage: Eukaryota; Metazoa; Mollusca; Gastropoda; Neogastropoda; Muricidae
Description: partial 12S ribosomal RNA
Rfam family: Bacterial small subunit ribosomal RNA
Source: RNAcentral
UUAAACCAAGAAGGUUGAGUUAUGCAUUAUAUCGGUUAAAAGAUAGUUAGGCAAUUUUAAUGGGCUUAUUUAAUUGUUAUUUAGAAGUAAAAUUCGUAAAUACCCAAGAAACUUUAUUGUAGCUAAUGGGCUGAAGCUAUGACAGCCUUGAGGGAAACUGGGAUUAGAUACCCCAUUAUUCAAGGAAGUAAAAGAACAAAAGUUUACCAGAGUACUACGAAAAAUACGGACAUUUAAAACUCAAAGAGCUUGGCGGUGUUUUAGACUUUUUAGGGGAACCUGUCUCAUAAUCGACAAUCCACGAAAUACCUGACCUUUAUUUGCUUUCAGUUUGUAUACCGUCGUCGUCAGGUAACUUUUUAGAAAAAAGAAGUUAGCAAAUGGACCACUACAAUAAGUUCUUACGUCAGAUCAAGGUGCAGUCAAUAUAGAGGAGAGGAUGGGUUACAAUUAUUAGAAACAUAAAUACGGAACAGUAACUUGAAAUUGAACUAUGAAGGAGGACUUAAAAGUAAAAUAGAAUAUAUAAAUAUAUUGAAUUAAGCUCUGAAACGUGCACACAUCGCCC